Molecule: ribosomal RNA, 1306 nt
Filed under: uncultured bacterium
Lineage: Bacteria
Description: bacterial SSU rRNA
Rfam family: Bacterial small subunit ribosomal RNA
Source: RNAcentral
GCCUAAUACAUGCAAGUCGGGGAGAAAGGGGUAGCAAUAUCCCGAGUACACCGGCGAACGGGUGAGUAACGCGUAGGCAACUUACCUUGUAGACGGGAAUAACCCCGCGAAAGCGGAGCUAAUACCCGAUGCAGUCCCGUCGUGACAUCACGACGGGAUGAAAGAUCCCAAAAGGAUGCUACAAGAUGGGCCUGCGUCCCAUUAGCUCGUUGGCGGGGUAACGGCCCACCAAGGCUACGAUGGGUAGCUGGUCUGAGAGGAUGGUCAGCCACACUGGAACUGAGACACGGUCCAGACUUCUACGGAAGGCAGCAGUGAGGAAUAUUGCUCAAUGGGCGAAAGCCUGAAGCAGCGACGCCGCGUGAGGGAUGAAGUCCGUUAGGAUGUAAACCUCUUUUGCAGAGGAAGAAUGUUCCGCCUCGGGCGGAAAGAGACGGUACUCUGCGAAUAAGCACCGGCCAACUACGUGCCAGCAGCCGCGGUAAUACGUAGGGUGCAAGCGUUAUCCGGAAUCAUUGGGUGUAAAGGGUCCGCAGGCGGACAGGCAAGUCGGUGGUGAAAGUUUACGGCUCAACCGUAAAAUUGCCUUCGAUACUGCUUGUCUUGAGUGUGAGAGAGGAUGAUGGAAUUCAUGGUGUAGCAGUGAAAUGCGUAGAUAUCAUGAAGAACACCGGUUGCGAAGGCGGUCAUCUGGCUCACAACUGACGCUCAGGGACGAAAGCGUGGGGAGCAAACAGGAUUAGAUACCCUGGUAGUCCACGUCCUAAACGAUGGAUACUCGGUGUCGGUCCGCAAGGAUCGGUGCCUAAGCCAACGCAUUAAGUAUCUCACCUGGGGAGUACGAUCGCAAGGUUGAAACUCAAAGGAAUUGACGGGGGCCCGCACAAGCAGUGGAGCAUGUGGUUCAAUUCGAUGCAACGCGAGGAACCUUACCUGGGUUUGAAAGGCUCUGUAAACCGGUGAAAGCCGGCUAGCGUAGCAAUACGCGCGGAGUACAGGUGCUGCAUGGCUGUCGUCAGCUCGUGCCGUGAGGUGUUAGGUUAAGUCCUGCAACGAGCGCAACCCCUACACUUAGUUGCCAUCAGGUCAUGCUGGGCACUCUAAGUGGACUGCCUACGCAAGUAGUGAGGAAGGUGGGGAUGACGUCAAGUCCUCAUGGCCCUUACAUCCAGGGCGACACACGUGCUACGAUGGCCGCUACAGAGGGUUGCCGAGGCGCAAGCCGGAGCCAUCCCAAAAAGCGGUCUCAGUUCGAAUUGGGUCUGCACACGACCCCAUGAAGCUGGAAAUUGCUAGUUAAUCGCGC